AUAUUGGGCAAUGGGCGCAAGCCUGACCCAGCAACGCCGCGUGAAGGAUGAAGGCUUUCGGGUUGUAAACUUCUUUUAUCAGGGACGAACAAAGUGACGGUACCUGAUGAAUAAGCCACGGCUAACUACGUGCUAGCAGCCGCGGUAAUACGUAGGUGGCAAGCGUUAUCCGGAUUUACUGGGUGUAAAGGGCGUGUAGGCGGGACUGCAAGUCAGGUGUGAAAACCACGGGCUCAACCUGUGGCCUGCAUUUGAAACUGUAGUUCUUGAGUGCUGGAGAGGCAAUCGGAAUUCCGUGUGUAGCGGUGAAAUGCGUAGAUAUACGGAGGAACACCAGUGGCGAAGGCGGAUUGCUGGACAGUAACUGACGCUGAGGCGCGAAAGCGUGGGGAGCAAACAG
RNAcentral lists this ribosomal RNA (400 nucleotides) under uncultured bacterium. RNAcentral's name for it is "bacterial SSU rRNA". It matches the Rfam family "Bacterial small subunit ribosomal RNA", at positions 361 to 775 of the family's 1533-position model. The record is from RNAcentral.